UGAGGAAUAUUGGUCAAUGGACGCAAGUCUGAACCAGCCAUGCCGCGUGCAGGAUGACGGCUCUAUGAGUUGUAAACUGCUUUUGUACGAGGGUAAACGCAGAUACGUGUAUCUGUCUGAAAGUAUCGUACGAAUAAGGAUCGGCUAACUCCGUGCCAGCAGCCGCGGUAAUACGGAGGAUUCAAGCGUUAUCCGGAUUUAUUGGGUUUAAAGGGUGCGUAGGCGGUUUGAUAAGUUAGAGGUGAAAUUUCGGGGCUCAACCCUGAACGUGCCUCUAAUACUGUUGAGCUAGAGAGUAGUUGCGGUAGGCGGAAUGUAUGGUGUAGCGGUGAAAUGCUUAGAGAUCAUACAGAACACCGAUUGCGAAGGCAGCUUACCAAACUAUAUCUGACGUUGAGGCACGAAAGCGUGGGGAGCAAACAGGAUUAGAUACCCUGGUAGUCCACGCAGUAAACGAUGAUAACUCGUUGUCGGCGAUACACAGUCGGUGACUAAGCGAAAGCGAUAAGUUAUCCACCUGGGGAGUACGUUCGCAAGAAUGAAACUCAAAGGAAUUGACGGGGGCCCGCACAAGCGGAGGAACAUGUGGUUUAAUUCGAUGAUACGCGAGGAACCUUACCCGGGCUUGAAAGUUAGCGACGAUUCUUGAAAGAGGAUUUCCCUUCGGGGCGCGAAACUAGGUGCUGCAUGGUUGUCGUCAGCUCGUGCCGUGAGGUGUCGGGUUAAGUCCCAUAACGAGCGCAACCCCUACCGUUAGUUGCCAUCAGGUCAAGCUGGGCACUCUGGCGGGACUGCCGGUGUAAGCCGAGAGGAAGGUGGGGAUGACGUCAAAUCAGCACGGCCCUUACGUCCGGGGCUACACACGUGUUACAAUGGUAGGUACAGAGGGCAGCUACCCAGCGAUGGGAUGCGAAUCUCGAAAGCCUAUCUCAGUUCGGAUUGGAGGCUGAAACCCGCCUCCAUGAAGUUGGAUUCGCUAGUAAUCGCGCAUCAGCCAUGGCGCGGUGAAUACGUUCCC
RNAcentral lists this ribosomal RNA (1018 nucleotides) under uncultured bacterium. Its description in RNAcentral is "bacterial SSU rRNA". It matches the Rfam family "Bacterial small subunit ribosomal RNA", at positions 355 to 1375 of the family's 1533-position model. The record is from RNAcentral.